AGGCACACCUGGCAUUGAGCGCAAGGAAAACAUCUAAAACUUUCCCAUACUAAUUUCCUGAGGACUUGAACUACAUUUGUUAGAAGUUUUUUCGCAAUUAACAAGAAAUACUCGACAAAGACGGUCAACCAGACCACCAUCUCAUCUAGUUCGUUCAACUUCCACCGUUAAAACGAGGGUGAGGCAAGAAAAGGGAGAAAAGGAAGUGUGAAAAACUGCAAAAGAGACCGCAUACGAAGAUAGAUACACACGUCUCUCUGUGGUGGACUUGCUGUCCACAUGGUAAGCGUUUUUGAGUUGUUUAACUUUCUUUGAAUGAAUUGCUAUAGGGAUAAUGACCAGCUUUAACAGACUAAAUUGUCUUUCUAGAGUGAAAUGUUUUUUUUUGAAAUAAAUGUCUAAUCCCUUCACCCAUGUGCUUCUAAUCUUCACAGACUCCAUGAAUUGAUUUGGUCACAUGAUCAAUUUCUUUUGCCAUUUCCAAGCAACAGGGGGUGGCUUAACUUACCCUUUGGCUCAACUUACCACACUCUCCCCUAUUCAACAGAAGGAACUUUUAUUGCAAUUGGAGUGUGAAGUUUUGCUGUUUUAAUAUUACAAACAACUUUAAAUGGUGAAAAUUCAUCAUGCCUGGGGUUAAAUUCCAAGGAUUUGCCAUCCGUCCCCGCUUAUCACAUCCAAUAAUACAGUGUGUUCGGAAAAACAACCUGGAGGAGCUUGAAAAAUUAUUGGAGGAUAAAGGAACUGACCAUCUUUACCAGUGCAUCAAAUGUCAGGACUCAAUAACACCACUGAUUGCUGCUGUUUUAAGCCGCAAUAAGGAGAUAUGUACUUUUCUUUUGCUAAAAGGUGCAAACCCAAAUGUGGUUUCAAAAAAAGGCUUCACAGCUUUGCAUUAUGCCUUAAAAGAAAAAGCACCACUUUGGUUUGUGGAGAAGCUGAUUGAGGCAAAAGCUAAUCCAAACAUAGUUGGACCAAACAAUGGCUCAUGCUUACAAACUGCUGCUAUUUUGAACAGGGAGGACAUCUUUGAAAAGCUCAUUUCUGCAGGUGCAGUGGUAACAGUGUCACCCAUUACUGAACCUGAUAAAAUGUUUCAGAUGAUUCAUAACCUUGCACAAAAAGGGAAUGAGUUGUGCUCCAAAGUCAGCUGUUUUCUGGACUUGGAAAUUGCUAUAAGAGAUAAAACCUCUACAGAAGUGUUUGAAACCUUUCACAGUCACAUGCUGCAGGAGAAUCCUCAGUCUCAUCUAAUCAUGAUUGAGAUACUUUUGAAUGCAACAGGGAAAGAUGGAGAAAUGUAUCGCCAUAAGAGUAUCAAAUGGCUGAAAGAAACUGGCAAUGUGGAUGCUUAUAUUACAAGUGCAGCCAGUCGCUUUCCAAAGCUUAAGAAGAGUAUUCUACGUCAGGUUAUUGACACUUUGUAUCUUGUUCUGUGUAUUGUUGAAGAGAUACAAAAGGAGCAGGCCUGUAUCCUGAUCCCUUUACUACUGACAGAGCUUGGCCUGGGUAUGAUACCGGGUAAAUAUGAUAUUAUUCUGCAAACACUUUAUGUGAUAACACAGAAGACAAAAAUCAAAAAUGGCGGGGAUUCUCCCUUAACUGAGAAACUAUGUCGCUCAUUAGCUCCUUUUGCGCAGAGCAUACGCCCCAUUGACCAAAGGGUCUUCACAUACGGCAUAUUUGGAAACUUGCUCUCGUUUGAAAAUGGGGCUAGCGUCCUCAUAUCAGCAGGGAUAACUUCUGUGCCUGAUGAUAUCCUGACAUCUGCAGAAACGCAAAUGCUAAAAGAUCUUAAAGAAGUAAUCAGACGACUGAAAAGUCACCUGAAGAAACCAAACUCAGAAUGUGAAGACCUACAUGGAACAAAGAAAAAGGGGGAAAGGUCAGAGAGUCAAGAAGACCCAAACAAUGCUGAAGUCUCCACUUCUGCAACUGAGGUUACAGCAGCUGAGCCAUUAGAUAUUAAAACCUCUGCAUUGUCAACAAAACACAGAUGGUUUCCAGUCGGCAAGAGGUGGAGAGAAAAACUCCAGAAGCUGUCUGACGAAAGUAAAGUAAUCAGAGCAGGGAGCAUGAUUUACGUGAAUAGUGGAGAGUUUCGAAUUGCUAAGGGCAGCGAUGGUACAGAAGUGUUCUUGGGGCUCAGAGAUGACGGCACUGAAGUUGCUAUAAAGAGAAUGUCCAAGAGCAACUAUGAGGUCCUGAAGAAUGAGGAAGGGUUUCUACGACUUCCAGAACUGGAUCAUCCAUCUAUCGUGCGAUAUGUGGACUUUGCAGAGGAUGAGUACUUUGGAUAUCUUGGUCUCCAACUUUGUGAAUCCUCCCUCGAUGAACUCAUCACCAUCAAUAAAGAUGGUGGCUCACAGAAGGAAGAUCUUGUCCAUCAGGUCCUUGAGAGUUUGAGGGUGCUCCAUGGUCAAAAACCUCCAAUUCUCCACCGGGAUCUCAAACCACCAAAUGUUUUGAUUGGUAAGACAAGUUGAACAUAUAUUAAGAUUAUGUUUGAAAGUUGACCAUUUUAAGAGAUAAUUUUUUUUUUUGCAGAUGUUAAUGGAAGGGCAAGAUUAGCUGAUUUUGGCAUCAGUAGACAGUUACCCAAAGGCCAAACAACUUAUCGCACAGGGGCUGCUGGAACAAAGUGCUGGAAGGCCAAAGAGACCUUAGCAGAAGGAGAUGACAUACCAUACAAAUCCAGCACUGAUAUACAGGCAAGUUCUUUCACUCCCACUAAUUUGAUGACUUCUUGAAAAACCACUUCCUUAAUUGCUUUUGUAAAUCCUUAAGGUGGCAGGCAUGCUGAUUUAUUACAUCCUUUCUGGGGGACACCAUCCUUUUGGGGACAAAGCCUAUGAAUGUGAGUACAACAUUUCCAAAGGGACCUACAAUCUGGACCAUGUCAAAGAUAUGGUGGCAAAGGACCUCAUUGAGUGGAUGAUAAAUGAAGAUCCAAAGAAGAGACCCACGAUUGAAGAAUGUCUGAGCCAUCCUUUCUUUUGGAAAGCAGUGAGGUAAGAAAGAAAAGCUGGUGGACUGAUAAUUUUUUUUUUAUCUUAUUACAAAAAAUAUACAAGCAUUUGUAUCCAUGCAAGUUAACAGAUGUAGAAUGAGGAUAUUUAGUAAGAUUCUUGUAUGGGACAUUUCCUCGCCAAUCUCCCUAGUCACU
This 3166-nucleotide long non-coding RNA is filed under the name Xyrichtys novacula (pearly razorfish). The record is from RNAcentral. Lineage: Eukaryota; Metazoa; Chordata; Actinopteri; Labriformes; Labridae.